This 103-nucleotide small RNA is filed under the name Celerinatantimonas diazotrophica. RNAcentral's name for it is "t44 RNA". It matches the Rfam family "t44 RNA". Rfam says of the family: This family consists of a number of bacterial RNA genes of between 135 and 170 bases in length. Lineage: Bacteria; Pseudomonadati; Pseudomonadota; Gammaproteobacteria; Celerinatantimonadaceae. The record is from RNAcentral.
AAUAAACGUGUUCUUUAACUUAUAACACACACACAUCGAGACCUACUCCGGGGUGCUGCUUUGAAUGAGUAGUCGGUCAGUGGGGAUGUGUGGAGGCCUAACC